This 406-nucleotide unclassified non-coding RNA is filed under the name uncultured Cortinarius. RNAcentral describes it as "sequence contains ITS2". The stretch from base 1 to 154 matches the Rfam family "5.8S ribosomal RNA". The record is from RNAcentral. Lineage: Eukaryota; Fungi; Basidiomycota; Agaricomycetes; Agaricales; Cortinariaceae.
AACUUUUGGCAACGGAUCACUUGGCUCUCGCAUCGAUGAAGAACGCAGCGAAAUGCGAUAAGUAAUGUGACUUGCAGAAUUCAGUGAAUCAUCGAAUCUUUGAACGCACCUUGCGCUCCUUGGUAUUCCGAGGAGCAUGCCUGUUUGAGUGUCAUUAAUAUAAUCAACCUUUUCUUGUUUUGAGAAUGGUUGGAUGUGGAGGUUUGCUGGCCUCUCUCAAAAGGUUCAGCUCCCCUGAAAUGCAUUAGCAGAACAACCUUUGCUCAUUGGUGUGAUAACUAUCUACGCUUAUGAAUACGGAGGGGCAGUUCAGCUUUCUAACGGUCUUUGGACAAUUCAUCAUUAAUGUGACCUCAAAUCAGGUAGGACUACCCGCUGAACUUAAGCAUAUCAAUAAGCGGAGGCU